GACGAACGCUGGCGGCGUGCCUAAUACAUGCAAGUAGAACGCUGAAGGAGGAGCUUGCUUCUCUGGAUGAGUUGCGAACGGGUGAGUAACGCGUAGGUAACCUGCCUGGUAGCGGGGGAUAACUAUUGGAAACGAUAGCUAAUACCGCAUAAGAGUAGAUGUUGCAUGACAUUUGCUUAAAAGGUGCAAUUGCAUCACUACCAGAUGGACCUGCGUUGUAUUAGCUAGUUGGUGGGGUAACGGCUCACCAAGGCGACGAUACAUAGCCGACCUGAGAGGGUGAUCGGCCACACUGGGACUGAGACACGGCCCAGACUCCUACGGGAGGCAGCAGUAGGGAAUCUACGGCAAUGGACGGAAGUCUGACCGAGCAACGCCGCGUGAGUGAAGAAGGUUUUCGGAUCGUAAAGCUCUGUUGUAAGAGAAGAACGAGUGUGAGAGUGGAAAGUUCACACUGUGACGGUAUCUUACCAGAAAGGGACGGCUAACUACGUG
This 495-nucleotide ribosomal RNA is filed under the name uncultured bacterium. RNAcentral describes it as "partial 16S ribosomal RNA". It matches the Rfam family "Bacterial small subunit ribosomal RNA", at positions 28 to 507 of the family's 1533-position model. The record is from RNAcentral.